UUUUAUUGAGAGUUUGAUCCUGGCUCAGGAUGAACGCUGGCGGCGUGCUUAACACAUGCAAGUCGAACGGAGGACCCUUGACGGAGUUUUCGGACAACGGAUAGGAAUCCUUAGUGGCGGACG
RNAcentral lists this ribosomal RNA (123 nucleotides) under Evtepia gabavorous. RNAcentral's name for it is "partial 16S ribosomal RNA". It matches the Rfam family "Bacterial small subunit ribosomal RNA", at positions 1 to 104 of the family's 1533-position model. The record is from RNAcentral. Lineage: Bacteria; Bacillati; Bacillota; Clostridia; Eubacteriales.